GGAUUUCAGGUGAGGCAGAAGAUGCAGAGCAGCGCUAAACUCUUCCAGACAGCGAAAACCAACCUAUAAGAAGCAGGCAGUCUUCUCUGUGCAGUUACAGCUCUACCGGCCCUAGGUCCCAGCAGACAGGCAAGAGCCUGCACUGCUGGGUACAAGCCAGGUCGAUCUAUCAGAAACCCUUAUCCUGUCUCCAGUGAACACUGAGCUUUCACAGAACAAUUGUUGGAAUGUAAGGAGAAAGAGUUUUCUCUCUGAGACAAGGAAGGAGAAAAGACAGACCAACCUGGAUUUCCACUUUAUAUCUACCACUGAUGAGCUGUGUGACCUCGGGCAAGUGAACUAACCUCUCUGGUCCUGUUUUCUCAUCUGCAAAAAGGAAAUUCAAAGGAAGUCAAGUCUAUAUUGUAUGCACCUACUGCCAGAAAUGAGGAGCCUACAAAUGUUGGACAAAGCAAAAAACAUCUGGGCCUGGCCAUGACCUUGAAGAAUGGAGAUAUUAUGCUCUCUGAGCUUAGUCUUUUUGCUUGGAAUAAAACCAAAAC
Pan troglodytes (chimpanzee) is the source of this 542-nucleotide long non-coding RNA. RefSeq lists it as uncharacterized. The record is from RefSeq and is a predicted model, not a curated record. The transcript is spliced from 3 exons. NCBI's taxonomy places the organism in Eukaryota, Metazoa, Chordata, Mammalia, Primates, Hominidae.